RNAcentral lists this unclassified non-coding RNA (748 nucleotides) under Hevea brasiliensis (rubber tree). Lineage: Eukaryota; Viridiplantae; Streptophyta; Magnoliopsida; Malpighiales; Euphorbiaceae. The record is from RNAcentral.
AUUUUCUAAAAUUUCUUACCUUUCCAAUAAUAUGUUAAUUAGAAAUAUUUAUUAUAUAUUAAAUACUCUCAAACCCAAGGAAUACUUACCCUUACCCACUCACAUAGAAAAGGACAAGUUACUACACGUGUACAUCUCUCUAUUAGUAUAGAAAAAGGAAAAAAAAAAAUACACACUCAAUCAAAACAGCUCAAUAUUUUUGCCCAUGAUUUCUGCUCCUUCUGGUUUUGGGAUUCUUUUCUGGUUUUGGGCGUCGUUGCUUCUUCUGGGCAGAAUCAGAUGGAGAGCACGCCAGUUUUAGCGAUCCAGAUCACGUUUCAAGGCGACUUAGAACACCGAAGAACCACGUUCUUGGACGCGCGAUCAGAUCGUCAUUCGUAAGGGGGAUGCGCGAAUUAGGCAACUAUGGUAUUGACUAAUGGGCCAAGUGAGUACUAGUUGCAAGGUAGAGAAAGUCCUUACCUCAGGAGAAAGAUUGCCAACAUAAACGGUGGUAUACUGAAGAUCGUUCUCUGGUGCAUCAUCAUUAUUUUCUUGACCGUCUUCUGCAUUGAGCAAAAGCAUUAUGUAAGCCUAGCAUGUAAAGAAGAUAAGCAAAAAAAGACAUGUAAUUGCGACCAAUGGAAGAAUAUGUUAACAGAUAUGGAUAUACAACCAAAUCUAAAAACACAAGCAUCUGCCUUAUGUCAUUUAGAUGACAUGUUGCAUAUUGCACAUUACAAGGGAACACUUUUUUUUUUUUUUUUAA